Molecule: ribosomal RNA, 468 nt
Filed under: uncultured bacterium
Lineage: Bacteria
Description: partial 16S ribosomal RNA
Rfam family: Bacterial small subunit ribosomal RNA
Source: RNAcentral
GAUGAACGCUGGCGGCGUGCCUAACACAUGCAAGUCGAACGGAAAGGCCCUGCUUUUGUGGGGUGCUCGAGUGGCGAACGCGUGAGUAACACGCGAGUAACCUGUACCUGACUUUGGGAUAUCUUCAGGAAACAGGGGCUCAUAACGGAUAGGAGCUCCUGCUCCACGGGGGGGGAUGGCAAGUGUCGGUGGUUGGGGAUGGACUCGCGGGUUAUCAGCUUGUUGGUGGAGUAGUGGCUUACCAAGGCUUAGACGGGUAGCCGGCCUGAGAGGGGGACCGGCGACAUUGGUACUACGAUACGGCCCAGAAGCCUACGGGAGGCAGCGGUGGGGAAUAUUGCACAGUGGCCGCAAGCCUGAGGCAACAACGCCGGGUGCGGGAUGACGGCCUUUGUGUUGUAAACCGAUGUCGCCUGAGACGUGGCGUUAGUGACGGUAACUAGUCAAAAAGCCACGGCUAACUACGUG